This 497-nucleotide ribosomal RNA is filed under the name uncultured bacterium. RNAcentral describes it as "partial 16S ribosomal RNA". It matches the Rfam family "Bacterial small subunit ribosomal RNA", at positions 28 to 507 of the family's 1533-position model. The record is from RNAcentral.
GAUGAACGCUGGCGGCGUGCCUAAUACAUGCAAGUCGAGCGAACAGACGAGGAGCUUGCUCCUCUGACGUUAGCGGCGGACGGGUGAGUAACACGUGGAUAACCUACCUAUAAGACUGGGAUAACUUCGGGAAACCGUAGCUAAUACCGGAUAAUAUAUUGAACCGCAUGGUUCAAUAGUGAAAUACGGUUUUGCUGUCACUUAUAGAUGGAUCUGCGCCGCAUUAGCUAGUUGGUAAGGUAACGGCUUACCAAGGCAACGAUGCGUAGCCGACGUGAGAGGGGGAUCGGCCACACUGGAAGUGAGACACGGUCCAGACGACUACGGGAGGCAGCAGUAGGGAAUCUUACGCAGUAGGCGAAAGCAUGACGGAGCAACGCCGAGUGAGUGAUGAAGGUCUUGGGAUCGUAAAACUCUGUUAUUAGGGAAGAACAAAUGUGUAAGUAAAUAUGCACGUAUUGACGGUACCUAAUCAGAAAGCCACGGCUAACUACGUG